RNAcentral lists this ribosomal RNA (327 nucleotides) under uncultured eukaryote. RNAcentral's name for it is "partial 18S ribosomal RNA". It matches the Rfam family "Eukaryotic small subunit ribosomal RNA", at positions 1470 to 1796 of the family's 1831-position model. The record is from RNAcentral.
CCCUUAGAUGUCCGGGGCCGCACGCGCGCUACAAUGGAUGAAUCAACGCGUCAUCCUGGCCCGAAAGGGUUGGGGAACCGCUGAACCUCAUCCGUGGUUGGGAUUGGGGUUUGUAAUUAUUCCCCAUGAACUAGGAAUUCCCAGUAAGCGCGAGUCAUAAGCUCGCGUUGAUUACGUCCCUGCCCUUUGUACACACCGCCCGUCGCUACUACCGAUUGGAUGGUUUAGUGGGAUCCUCGGAUUGGUCACGGCACGGUGGCAACACUGCGUCGGUGUGCCGAGAAGACGAUCAAACUUGAUCAUCUAGAGGAAGUAAAAGUCGUAACA